Passer domesticus (house sparrow) is the source of this 559-nucleotide long non-coding RNA. RefSeq lists it as uncharacterized. NCBI's taxonomy places the organism in Eukaryota, Metazoa, Chordata, Aves, Passeriformes, Passeridae. The transcript is spliced from 4 exons. The record is from RefSeq and is a predicted model, not a curated record.
CCCAGCACAGGGCAGCCCCUGCUUUCCCCUCUGAGCUGGUCUGAUCCCACCCGUCCCACACAGCCGCACAGAGACCCUCCCUCUGGACUCCUGGAUCCCUCUGGAUCAGGACUGACUUGGCCUUGGGCCUUUUUUAUCUGCAAGCCUUGAUGGGGCAGCUCACAUAGGGGAUCCUUUCUACAGCUGUUCUGGGUUUGAACUCAGCUCUUCCACUCGGCUGCCUAAAAGUGGUGCAGUCACCAAGUGCCAAAUGCAAAUUGUGGGCCAAGUUUGUCUUCUCUCCAGUCACAAAGGGAACUGGCAUCAGGCUUGGUUGGUUUUAGGCUGCAUCUGAAGUCAGAUGGACAAAGCAUUGCUUUAAAGUGAGGAAGAGGAAUUUGACUAAAGCCACUGUAAUAAUUAAUCUUGUGAUGGGCAAGUCAUGCAAAUUAGUGGAGAGAUGUGGGUCCUAACCCAUGGUCCAGCCCUGCUCUGUGGUUCAGCCAGAAUCAGCCAUUUAAAACCUCACCUUUCAAAUGUUUCUCACAGGUAAAUCUAAUAAAAAUCAUAUUUUGUCACA